AGGGUGUGUGUGUUUUU
RNAcentral lists this microRNA (17 nucleotides) under Homo sapiens (human). RNAcentral describes it as "hsa-miR-4455". Lineage: Eukaryota; Metazoa; Chordata; Mammalia; Primates; Hominidae. The record is from miRBase by way of RNAcentral.